Molecule: ribosomal RNA, 253 nt
Filed under: uncultured bacterium
Lineage: Bacteria
Description: partial 16S ribosomal RNA
Rfam family: Bacterial small subunit ribosomal RNA
Source: RNAcentral
UACGAAGGGGGCUAGCGUUGCUCGGAAUUACUGGGCGUAAAGCGCACGUAGGCGGAUUGUUAAGUCGGGGGUGAAAUCCUGGAGCUCAACUCCAGAACUGCCUUCGAUACUGGCGAUCUCGAGUUCGGGAGAGGUGAGUGGAACUGCGAGUGUAGAGGUGAAAUUCGUAGAUAUUCGCAAGAACGCCAGUGGCGAAGGCGGCUCACUGGCCCGAUACUGACGCUGAGGUGCGAAAGCGUGGGGAGCAAACAGG